AGCUCCGAGGUGUACUCACAUGUUAGAUUGCAAAUCUAGAGAAGCAGGUUAGCGCCUGCCGGGGCUU
Molecule: transfer RNA, 67 nt
Filed under: Monotaxis grandoculis (humpnose big-eye bream)
Lineage: Eukaryota; Metazoa; Chordata; Actinopteri; Spariformes; Lethrinidae
Description: tRNA-Cys
Rfam family: tRNA
About the family: Transfer RNA (tRNA) molecules are approximately 80 nucleotides in length. Their secondary structure includes four short double-helical elements and three loops (D, anti-codon, and T loops).
Source: RNAcentral